This 472-nucleotide ribosomal RNA is filed under the name uncultured Oscillospiraceae bacterium. RNAcentral's name for it is "bacterial SSU rRNA". It matches the Rfam family "Bacterial small subunit ribosomal RNA", at positions 907 to 1382 of the family's 1533-position model. The record is from RNAcentral. Lineage: Bacteria; Bacillati; Bacillota; Clostridia; Eubacteriales; Oscillospiraceae.
UGAAUUGACGGGGCCCGCACAAGCAGUGGAGUAUGUGGUUUAAUUCGAAGCAACGCGAAGAACCUUACCAGGGCUUGACAUCCCUUGAAUGCGGUGGAAACGUCGCAGUCCUUCGGGACAAGGAGACAGGUGGUGCAUGGUUGUCGUCAGCUCGUGUCGUGAGAUGUUGGGUUAAGUCCCGCAACGAGCGCAACCCUUGCUAUUAGUUGCCAGCGAGAAAGACGGGCACUCUAAUAGGACUGCCGGCGACAAGUCGGAGGAAGGUGGGGACGACGUCAAAUCAUCAUGCCCCUUAUGUCCUGGGCUACACACGUACUACAAUGACUGUUACAGAGGGCAGCAAAGUCGCAAGGCUAAGCAAAUCCCAAAAAACAGUCCCAGUUCGGAUUGUGGGCUGCAACUCGCCCACAUGAAGUCGGAAUUGCUAGUAAUGGCAGGUCAGCAUACUGCCGUGAAUACGUUCCCGGGCCUU